UGGGGAAUCUUGGACAAUGGGGGCAACCCUGAUCCAGCCAUGCCGCGUGAGUGAUGAAGGCCUUAGGGUCGUAAAGCUCUUUCGCCUGUGAAGAUAAUGACGGUAGCAGGUAAAGAAACCCCGGCUAACUCCGUGCCAGCAGCCGCGGUAAUACGGAGGGGGUUAGCGUUGUUCGGAAUUACUGGGCGUAAAGCGCACGUAGGCGGACCAGAAAGUUGGGGGUGAAAUCCCGGGGGCUCAACCCCGGAACUGCCUCCAAAACUAUUGGUCUAGAGUUCGAGAGAGGUGAGUGGAAUUCCAAGUGUAGAGGUGAAAUUCGUAGAUAUUCGGUGGAACACCAGUGGCGAAGGCGACUCGCUGGUCCGGUACUGACGCUGAGGUGCGAAAGCGUGGGGAGCAACAGGAUUAGAUACCCUGGUAGUCCACA
Molecule: ribosomal RNA, 427 nt
Filed under: uncultured bacterium
Lineage: Bacteria
Description: bacterial SSU rRNA
Rfam family: Bacterial small subunit ribosomal RNA
Source: RNAcentral